RNAcentral lists this ribosomal RNA (2239 nucleotides) under Salmonella enterica. Its description in RNAcentral is "partial 23S ribosomal RNA". It matches the Rfam family "Bacterial large subunit ribosomal RNA", at positions 711 to 2925 of the family's 2925-position model. The record is from RNAcentral. RNAcentral also lists the same sequence under 1 other name. Lineage: Bacteria; Pseudomonadati; Pseudomonadota; Gammaproteobacteria; Enterobacterales; Enterobacteriaceae.
AGACCCGAAACCCGGUGAUCUAGCCAUGGGCAGGUUGAAGGUUGGGUAACACUAACUGGAGGACCGAACCGACUAAUGUUGAAAAAUUAGCGGAUGACCUGUGGCUGGGGGUGAAAGGCCAAUCAAACCGGGAGAUAGCUGGUUCUCCCCGAAAGCUAUUUAGGUAGCGCCUCGUGAAUUCAUCUCCGGGGGUAGAGCACUGUUUCGGCUAGGGGGCCAUCCCGGCUUACCAACCCGAUGCAAACUGCGAAUACCGGAGAAUGUUAUCACGGGAGACACACGGCGGGUGCUAACGUCCGUCGUGAAGAGGGAAACAACCCAGACCGCCAGCUAAGGUCCCAAAGUCAUGGUUAAGUGGGAAACGAUGUGGGAAGGCCCAGACAGCCAGGAUGUUGGCUUAGAAGCAGCCAUCAUUUAAAGAAAGCGUAAUAGCUCACUGGUCGAGUCGGCCUGCGCGGAAGAUGUAACGGGGCUAAACCAUGCACCGAAGCUGCGGCAGCGACACUCAGGUGUUGUUGGGUAGGGGAGCGUUCUGUAAGCCUGCGAAGGUGGCCUGUGAGGGUUGCUGGAGGUAUCAGAAGUGCGAAUGCUGACAUAAGUAACGAUAAAGCGGGUGAAAAGCCCGCUCGCCGGAAGACCAAGGGUUCCUGUCCAACGUUAAUCGGGGCAGGGUGAGUCGACCCCUAAGGCGAGGCCGAAAGGCGUAGUCGAUGGGAAACGGGUUAAUAUUCCCGUACUUGGUGUUACUGCGAAGGGGGGACGGAGAAGGCUAUGUUGGCCGGGCGACGGUUGUCCCGGUUUAAGCGUGUAGGUGUGUGUUCCAGGUAAAUCCGGUUCACUUUAACACUGAGGCGUGACGACGAGGCACUACGGUGCUGAAGCAACAAAUGCCCUGCUUCCAGGAAAAGCCUCUAAGCAUCAGGUAACAUCAAAUCGUACCCCAAACCGACACAGGUGGUCAGGUAGAGAAUACCAAGGCGCUUGAGAGAACUCGGGUGAAGGAACUAGGCAAAAUGGUGCCGUAACUUCGGGAGAAGGCACGCUGACACGUAGGUGAAGUGAUUUACUCACGGAGCUGAAGUCAGUCGAAGAUACCAGCUGGCUGCAACUGUUUAUUAAAAACACAGCACUGUGCAAACACGAAAGUGGACGUAUACGGUGUGACGCCUGCCCGGUGCCGGAAGGUUAAUUGAUGGGGUCAGCGCAAGCGAAGCUCCUGAUCGAAGCCCCGGUAAACGGCGGCCGUAACUAUAACGGUCCUAAGGUAGCGAAAUUCCUUGUCGGGUAAGUUCCGACCUGCACGAAUGGCGUAAUGAUGGCCAGGCUGUCUCCACCCGAGACUCAGUGAAAUUGAACUCGCUGUGAAGAUGCAGUGUACCCGCGGCAAGACGGAAAGACCCCGUGAACCUUUACUAUAGCUUGACACUGAACAUUGAGCCUUGAUGUGUAGGAUAGGUGGGAGGCUUUGAAGUGUGGACGCCAGUCUGCAUGGAGCCGACCUUGAAAUACCACCCUUUAAUGUUUGAUGUUCUAACGUGGACCCGUGAUCCGGGUUGCGGACAGUGUCUGGUGGGUAGUUUGACUGGGGCGGUCUCCUCCUAAAGAGUAACGGAGGAGCACGAAGGUUGGCUAAUCCUGGUCGGACAUCAGGAGGUUAGUGCAAUGGCAUAAGCCAGCUUGACUGCGAGCGUGACGGCGCGAGCAGGUGCGAAAGCAGGUCAUAGUGAUCCGGUGGUUCUGAAUGGAAGGGCCAUCGCUCAACGGAUAAAAGGUACUCCGGGGAUAACAGGCUGAUACCGCCCAAGAGUUCAUAUCGACGGCGGUGUUUGGCACCUCGAUGUCGGCUCAUCACAUCCUGGGGCUGAAGUAGGUCCCAAGGGUAUGGCUGUUCGCCAUUUAAAGUGGUACGCGAGCUGGGUUUAGAACGUCGUGAGACAGUUCGGUCCCUAUCUGCCGUGGGCGCUGGAGAACUGAGGGGGGCUGCUCCUAGUACGAGAGGACCGGAGUGGACGCAUCACUGGUGUUCGGGUUGUCAUGCCAAUGGCACUGCCCGGUAGCUAAAUGCGGAAGAGAUAAGUGCUGAAAGCAUCUAAGCACGAAACUUGCCCCGAGAUGAGUUCUCCCUGAGACUUAGAGUCUCCUGAAGGAACGUUGAAGACGACGACGUUGAUAGGCCGGGUGUGUAAGCGCAGCGAUGCGUUGAGCUAACCGGUACUAAUGAACCGUGAGGCUUAACCUU